RNAcentral lists this ribosomal RNA (253 nucleotides) under uncultured bacterium. Its description in RNAcentral is "partial 16S ribosomal RNA". It matches the Rfam family "Bacterial small subunit ribosomal RNA", at positions 524 to 776 of the family's 1533-position model. The record is from RNAcentral.
UACGUAGGGUGCAAGCGUUGUCCGGAAUUAUUGGGCGUAAAGAGCUCGUAGGCGGUUUGUCGCGUCUGCUGUGAAAACUCGAGGCUCAACCUCGGGCUUGCAGUGGGUACGGGCAGACUAGAGUGCGGUAGGGGUGACUGGAAUUCCUGGUGUAGCGGUGGAAUGCGCAGAUAUCAGGAGGAGCACCGAUGGCGAAGGCAGGUCACUGGGCCGCAACUGACGCUGAGGAGCGAAAGCAUGGGGAGCGAACAGG